This is a long non-coding RNA of Gopherus evgoodei (Goodes thornscrub tortoise), 421 nucleotides long. RefSeq lists it as uncharacterized. The transcript is spliced from 4 exons. The record is from RefSeq and is a predicted model, not a curated record. Lineage: Eukaryota; Metazoa; Chordata; Testudines; Testudinidae.
UAAAUCCCACAUUCCCACAAUGCACCUUGGUAAUGCCACUCUUCUCUGUCCCUAAUCCCCCUAUUCCCUUCCCUCAGGUCCUCCUGGACACCCCAACCCACAGUCAGGCCUCCUCAUACAUCCCACUCAUUUACAUGCUGAGCUAGUUCUUCAGGGACCCCCACAGCCCAGCAAACUUCUCCAUCCAUGAGCCCCAUGGACAGGAAGGGUGGGGUGUGGUUUUGGCCGAAGAUGAGGUGUUUUGGUAGCCCUGUGGAUGCUGAGUGGUAUCUGGAAUGGGGCGUGUGUGUUCCCAUCAUGCCCCUUCCCCUCUGCCUGCAGAGCUGAGGACAGACAGGUCUGAGGAGCAGAGCAGGAGCUCUGGGAAGGAGAAGAGCAAUAUGAAGAUGGAGUCUAAGAUGAGGCCAGCAAGGGAAAAGAA